GACGAACGCUGGCGGCGUGCUUAACACAUGCAAGUCGUACGGUAAGGCCCUUUCGGGGGUACACGAGUGGCGAACGGGCGAGUAACACGUGAGUAACCUGCCUACAACGUUGGGAUAACGCUAGGAAACUGGCGCUAAUACUGGAUAUGUGCUCCUGCUGCAUGGUGGGGGUUGGAAAGCUCCUGCGGUUGUGGAUGGACUCGCGGCCUAUCAGCUUGUUGGUGGGGUAGUGGCCUACCAAGGCGGCGACGGGUAGCCGGCCUGAGAGGGUGACCGGCCCCAUUGGGACUGAGAUACGGCCCAGCCUCCUACCGGAGGCAGCCGUGGGGAAUAUUGCACCAUGGGCGCCAGCCUGAUGCAGCCACGCCGCGUGCGGGAUGACGGCCUUCGGGUUGUAAACCGCUUUCAGCAGGGACGAAGCUUUUUGUGACGGUACCUGCAGAAGAAGCACCGGCUAACUACGUG
Molecule: ribosomal RNA, 465 nt
Filed under: uncultured bacterium
Lineage: Bacteria
Description: partial 16S ribosomal RNA
Rfam family: Bacterial small subunit ribosomal RNA
Source: RNAcentral